RNAcentral lists this ribosomal RNA (496 nucleotides) under uncultured bacterium. Its description in RNAcentral is "partial 16S ribosomal RNA". It matches the Rfam family "Bacterial small subunit ribosomal RNA", at positions 30 to 523 of the family's 1533-position model. The record is from RNAcentral.
AUUGAACGCUGGCGGAAUGCUUUACACAUGCAAGUCGAACGGUAGAGGGGGCAACCCCUCGAGAGUGGCGAACGGGUGAGUAAUAUAUCGGAACGUGCCCAGUCGUGGGGGAUAACGUAGCGAAAGUUACGCUAAUACCGCAUACGAUCUAAGGAUGAAAGCGGGGGACCGUAAGGCCUCGCGCGAUUGGAGCGGCCGAUAUCAGAUUAGGUAGUUGGUGGGGUAAAGGCUCACCAAGCCAACGAUCUGUAGCUGGUCUGAGAGGACGACCAGGCACACUGGAACUGGGACACGGUCCAGACUCCUACGGGAGGCGGCAGUGGGGAAUUUUGGACAAUGGACGCAAGUCUGAUCCAGCCAUUCCGCGUGCAGGAUGAAGGCCCUCGGGUUGUAAACUGCUUUUGUACGGAACGAAAAGGUCUCUCCUAAUACGAGGGGCUCAUGACGGUACCGUAAGAAUAAGCACCGGCUAACUACGUGCCAGCCGCCGCCGUAA